Dermacentor andersoni is the source of this 637-nucleotide non-coding RNA. The record is from RefSeq and is a predicted model, not a curated record. NCBI's taxonomy places the organism in Eukaryota, Metazoa, Arthropoda, Arachnida, Ixodida, Ixodidae.
UUCUAGGUGGCGCCCCAACAGCUCAUCGAAAUGCACGCAGCGCGAAUUCGAAUCCACAGCGAGAUUUGAGCGCGGGAAGCUGUUAUGUGCCAGUAUGCUGGGGUAGGCUUGACAACUCAAAAUUUUCUAUUUGUACUUACGAAGCAGCAGUAUUUGACAGAAAAGAAUAAUACUUUGAUGCUCUUCUCACGCCUACAAGCGAGGGCGGCGUGAUUAACAACACAGCGUAAUGCGCAACGGUGAACGCCAACGAACUGCGUGCCGCCACCAACCUGGACGAAGCAUUUUGGAUUAUGAAUGGAUACCUGAACACUGCUUGAAGGAGCAAGCUCUACAGCAUCACUUAUGCUCCUUUCCAUGGGUUGGCAAGAGGAACCGUGGCACGCAACUCUACAGGCACCUGUGCUCUUCACUACCUUCGGAGGAGAGAUGCAUUGAAUGCUCCCUAUCAUGCACUGCCAUCUCAACAGUACCAUGGCUUUUUGUGUGGAUUCCUUCCCUUUUGAAGGCCACCACUGUUUGCACAGCAUCACAGCCUGCCUGCCUUGAUCUUGCGGAAGAAGAAAAUACAAAAUGCCUAUUUUUUGAAAUGCAUGCAUGGCUCCAUGCAACACCACCUGUCGUCGGGGUGUUAAGG